This 400-nucleotide ribosomal RNA is filed under the name uncultured bacterium. RNAcentral's name for it is "partial 16S ribosomal RNA". It matches the Rfam family "Bacterial small subunit ribosomal RNA", at positions 338 to 735 of the family's 1533-position model. The record is from RNAcentral.
CCUACGGGAGGCAGCAGUGAGGAAUAUUGGUCAAUGGACGGAAGCCUGAACCAGCCAUGCCGCGUGCAGGAAGACGGCCCUAUGAGUUGUAAACCGCUUUUGUCGGAGAACAAUAGCCCUUACGAGUAGGGAUCUGAAUGUAUCGUACGAAUAAGCAUCGGCUAACUCCGUGCCAGCAGCCGCGGUAAUACGGAGGAUUCGAGCGUUAUCCGGAUUUAUUGGGUUUAAAGGGUGCGUAGGCUGUCGGUUAAGUUAGGGGUCAAAUGUCGGGGCUUAACCCCGUGCCAGCCGUUGAUACUGGUCGACUAGAGAGCGGGAGCAGCAGGCGGAAUGAGUGGUGUAGCGGUGAAAUGCAUAGAUAUUGCGCAGAACACCGAUUGCGCAGGCAGCUUACUGGUCC